GGAAUAUUGGGCGUAAAGAGCUCGUAGGCGGUUUGUCGCGUCUGCCGUGAAAGUCCGGGGCUCAACUCCGGAUCUGCGGUGGGUACGGGCAGACUAGAGUGAUGUAGGGGAGACUGGAAUUCCUGGUGUAGCGGUGAAAUGCGCAGAUAUCAGGAGGAACACCGAUGGCGAAGGCAGGUCUCUGGGCAUUAACUGACGCUGAGGAGCGAAAGCAUGGGGAGCGAACAGGAUUAGAUACCCCAG
RNAcentral lists this ribosomal RNA (243 nucleotides) under uncultured Pseudarthrobacter sp. RNAcentral describes it as "partial 16S ribosomal RNA". It matches the Rfam family "Bacterial small subunit ribosomal RNA", at positions 552 to 790 of the family's 1533-position model. Lineage: Bacteria; Bacillati; Actinomycetota; Actinomycetes; Micrococcales; Micrococcaceae. The record is from RNAcentral.